This 69-nucleotide transfer RNA is filed under the name Urocitellus parryii (Arctic ground squirrel). RNAcentral describes it as "Spermophilus parryii (Arctic ground squirrel) tRNA". It matches the Rfam family "tRNA". Rfam says of the family: Transfer RNA (tRNA) molecules are approximately 80 nucleotides in length. Lineage: Eukaryota; Metazoa; Chordata; Mammalia; Rodentia; Sciuridae. RNAcentral also lists the same sequence under 2 other names. The record is from Rfam by way of RNAcentral.
GGGAUUGUGGCUCAGUGAUACAGCACUCACCUAUCAUGUGUGAGGCCCUGGGUUCGAUUCUCAGCACCA